UACGUAGGGUGCAAGCGUUGUCCGGAAUUAUUGGGCGUAAAGGGCUCGUAGGCGGUCCAUCGCGUCGGGGAGUGAAAAGCUGGGGCUUAACCCCAGUCCUGCUUCCGAUACGGGUGGACUAGAGGUAGGUAGGGGAGAUCGGAAUUCCACGUGUAGCAGUGAAAUGCGUAGAGAUGUGGAGGAAUACCGAUGGCGAAGGCAGCCUCCUGGGCCAACACUG
Molecule: ribosomal RNA, 220 nt
Filed under: uncultured bacterium
Lineage: Bacteria
Description: partial 16S ribosomal RNA
Rfam family: Bacterial small subunit ribosomal RNA
Source: RNAcentral